UACGUAGGGUGCGAGCGUUAAUCGGAAUUACUGGGCGUAAAGCGUGCGCAGGCGGUUCUUUAAGUCCGGGGUGGAAGCCCUGGGCUUAACCUAGGAAUUGCGCUUGAGACUGGAUAGCUUGGAGUGCGGCAGAGGGAGGUGGAAUUCCACGUGUAGCAGUGAAAUGCGUAGAGAUGUGGAGGAACACCGAUGGCGAAGGCAGCCUCCUGGGCCAGCACUGACGCUCAUGCACGAAAGCGUGGGGAGCAAACAGG
RNAcentral lists this ribosomal RNA (254 nucleotides) under uncultured bacterium. RNAcentral describes it as "partial 16S ribosomal RNA". It matches the Rfam family "Bacterial small subunit ribosomal RNA", at positions 524 to 776 of the family's 1533-position model. The record is from RNAcentral.